CCGGCUAANUACGUGCCAGCAGCCGCGGUANUACGUAGGGUGCGAGCGUUAAUNGGAAUUACUGGGCGUAAAGCGGGCGCAGACGGUUANUUAAGCAGGAUGUGAAAUCCCCGGGCUCAACCUGGGAACUGCGUUNUGAACUGGGUGACUAGAGUGUGUCAGAGGGAGGUAGAAUUCCACGUGUAGCAGUGAAAUGCGUAGAGAUGUGGAGGAAUACCGAUGGCGAAGGCAGCCUCCUGGGAUAACACUGACGUUCAUGCCCGAAAGCGUGGGUAGCAAACAGGAUUAGAUACCCUGGUAGUCCACGCCCUAAACGAUGUCGAUUAGCUGUUGGGCAGCAUGACUGCUUAGUAGCGAAGCUAACGCGUGAAAUCGACCGCCUGGGGAGUACGGUCGCAAGAUUAAAACUCAAAGGAAUUGACGGGGACCCGCACAAGCGGUGGAUGAUGUGGAUUAAUUCGAUGCAACGCGAAGAACCUUACCUGGCCUUGACAUGUACGGAACCCUCCAGAGACGGAGGGGUGUCUUCGGGAGCCGUAACACAGGUGCUGCAUGGCUGUCGUCAGCUCGUGUCGUGAGAUGUUGGGUUAAGUCCCGCAACGAGCGCAACCCUUGUCAUUAGUUGCCAUCAUUAAGUUGGGCACUCUAAUGAGACUGCCGGUGACAAGCCGGAGGAAGGUGGGGAUGACGUCAAGUCCUCAUGGCCCUUAUGACCAGGGCUUCACACGUCAUACAAUGGUCGGUACAGAGGGUAGCCAAGCCGCGAGGUGGAGCCAAUCUCACAAAACCGAUCGUAGUCCGGAUUGCACUCUGCAACUCGAGUGCAUGAAGUCGGAAUCGCUAGUAAUCGCAGGUCAGCAUACUGCGGUGAAUACGUUCCCGGGUCUUGUACACACCGCCCGUCACACCAUGGGAGUGGGGGAUACCAGAA
RNAcentral lists this ribosomal RNA (931 nucleotides) under uncultured bacterium. RNAcentral's name for it is "bacterial SSU rRNA". It matches the Rfam family "Bacterial small subunit ribosomal RNA", at positions 493 to 1425 of the family's 1533-position model. The record is from RNAcentral.